AGUGAACGCUGGCGGUAGGCCUAACACAUGCAAGUCGAACGGCAGCACAGUAAGAGCUUGCUCUUACGGGUGGCGAGUGGCGGACGGGUGAGGAAUACAUCGGAAUCUACUUUUUCGUGGGGGAUAACGUAGGGAAACUUACGCUAAUACCGCAUACGACCUACGGUUGAAAGCAGGGGAUCUUCGGACCUUGCGCGAUUGAAUGAGCCGAUGUCGGAUUAGCUAGUUGGCGGGGUAAAGGCCCACCAAGGCGACGAUCCGUAGCUGGUCUGAGAGGAGGAUCAGCCACACUGGAACUGAGACACGGUCCAGACUACUACGGGAGGCAGCAGUGGGGAAUAUUGGACAAUGGGCGCAAGCCUGAUCCAGCCAUACCGCGUGGGUGAAGAAGGCCUUCGGGUUGUAAAGCCCUUUUGUUGGGAAAGAAAAGCAGCAGGUUAAUACCCCGAUGUUCUGACGGUACCCAAAGAAUAAGCACCGGCUAACUUCGUG
RNAcentral lists this ribosomal RNA (492 nucleotides) under uncultured bacterium. Its description in RNAcentral is "partial 16S ribosomal RNA". It matches the Rfam family "Bacterial small subunit ribosomal RNA", at positions 29 to 507 of the family's 1533-position model. The record is from RNAcentral.